This 439-nucleotide ribosomal RNA is filed under the name Mycobacterium stomatepiae. Its description in RNAcentral is "bacterial SSU rRNA". It matches the Rfam family "Bacterial small subunit ribosomal RNA", at positions 60 to 514 of the family's 1533-position model. The record is from RNAcentral. Lineage: Bacteria; Bacillati; Actinomycetota; Actinomycetes; Mycobacteriales; Mycobacteriaceae.
AGUCGAACGGAAAGGCCCCUUCGGGGGUACUCGAGUGGCGAACGGGUGAGUAACACGUGGGUAAUCUGCCCUGCACUUCGGGAUAAGCCUGGGAAACUGGGUCUAAUACCGGAUAUGACCACGAGGCGCAUGCCUUGUGGUGGAAAGCUUUUGCGGUGUGGGAUGGGCCCGCGGCCUAUCAGCUUGUUGGUGGGGUGAUGGCCUACCAAGGCGACGACGGGUAGCCGGCCUGAGAGGGUGUCCGGCCACACUGGGACUGAGAUACGGCCCAGACUCCUACGGGAGGCAGCAGUGGGGAAUAUUGCACAAUGGGCGCAAGCCUGAUGCAGCGACGCCGCGUGGGGGAUGACGGCCUUCGGGUUGUAAACCUCUUUCAGCAGGGACGAAGCGCAAGUGACGGUACCUGCAGAAGAAGCACCGGCCAACUACGUGCCAGCAG